UACGAAGGGGGCUAGUGUUGCUCGGAAUCACUGGGCGUAAAGGGUGCGUAGGCGGGUCUUUAAGUCAGGGGUGAAAUCCUGGAGCUCAACUCCAGAACUGCCUUUGAUACUGAAGAUCUUGAGUUCGGGAGAGGUGAGUGGAACUGCGAGUGUAGAGGUGAAAUUCGUAGAUAUUCGCAAGAACACCAGUGGCGAAGGCGGCUCACUGGCCCGAUACUGACGCUGAGGCACGAAAGCGUGGGGAGCAAACGGG
This 253-nucleotide ribosomal RNA is filed under the name uncultured bacterium. RNAcentral describes it as "partial 16S ribosomal RNA". It matches the Rfam family "Bacterial small subunit ribosomal RNA", at positions 524 to 776 of the family's 1533-position model. The record is from RNAcentral.